UAGGCAGUGAAAUCACUUUUUCUUCCUAAAUAUGGCUCUAAGAUUACCUAUCCCUUAUAAUCACCUAUGAAAAGAUUUCCUGAUGAAGAAUAGUGUAUUGAGCUUGAGCAUUUCACUAUGAGGAAAAAAAAUGCAUCUUGCAAGCUGCUUAAAAUGCAGAGUGCCCAUUUUAUGUAUGUUCUACUACUGUAAGUUUUCUGGAAAGACACAAAAUGUGAGCAGGGUGAAAAAGGAAGACUUAACGAUCUGGCCAAGUCACCACAGUUCCCCAUGUAAGAUGUCCACCCUGAAUGCAUGUGUGACUCAUAUGGAAAUGGAGCUGCAACCACGGGUGUUGCUAGCCAGAGGGAAACUAUGGACCCUGAAGUGAACACAAGUGGAAAGGAGACUUAGAAAGUGUGGAAACUGAUGCCAAAAAUGAUGUGAGAACUUACUGACGUGCUUUUUUAACAACAGUUAAAACAACAACUAGGUCAUAAUAACACUUUUUGCAUACUUCAGGGGAAGGAGGGUGAGUAACACCAGAUUAAUGAGAUACCAAGCAAAAGUGUAAUAUUGAUGAUGACUGAACUAUGUUAGUUGUGAAAUUGUUGAUACUUUUCUUUCAAAAAAAUAAUAUCUGUAAUCGUGCAUUUUGGGAAGAGAAGUUGUGGUAAAUACCAGAAAUGAGUGGUGCUUUAUGCUUUUAUUUAUUUCUUUUUAAGUUUUUGUGACACAUUGUCAAGUCCACUGGGAUAAGUUUUCUUCCUUUAGUACUUGAAUGGAUGGAUAUGAAGGCAAGGGGAAUAUUUUGGAUUAGAAAGGAACACUGAGAAAGAAAGGUACUACACAACUCUGAUUUAUUCUGGAUAACUGACAGUCUGUGGUGUUGUGUCAUUCUGUAUUGAGUGAACAUCUCAGCAAGGGUUCCACCUCCUCUCUGUAAACCUGGUUGUUAAGCCAAUUAAAAGUGCACAGAAUCAGUUGUAA
Anas platyrhynchos (mallard) is the source of this 969-nucleotide long non-coding RNA. RefSeq lists it as uncharacterized. Lineage: Eukaryota; Metazoa; Chordata; Aves; Anseriformes; Anatidae. The record is from RefSeq and is a predicted model, not a curated record.